GUACACGCUGUGACUAGCAUAUCAAUAAGCGGAGGAAAAGAAACUAACAAGGAUUCCCCUAGUAACGGCUGAGUGAAGCGGGAAGAGCUCAAAUUUGAAAUCUUAAAGGGUUUCCCUUUAGCGAAUUGUAGUUUAAAGAAGUGUUUUCUGUUGAGGUUUUGGUAAAAGUUCUUUGGAAUAGGACAUCAUAGAGGGUGAGAAUCCCGUAUUUGACCUUUACUUUCAACUUUGUGAUACACUUUCAAAGAGUCGGAUUGUUUGGGAAUGCAGUCCAAAAUGGGUGGUAAAUUUCAUCUAAAGCUAAAUAUUGGCGAGAGACCGAUAGCGAACAAGUACCGUGAGGGAAAGAUGAAAAGAACUUUGAAAAGAGAGUUAAACAGUACGUGAAAUUGUCAAAAGGGAAGCGUUUGACACCAGUGUUGUUUUUCUGAAAAUCAAUUAAAGAACUGUUUAUGCUAAGCUGUUUAGACUUUAUCAGCUAAUCUGUUUAGUUUUGAGCUUUUCUUUAAUGCACUUUUCAGUUAACAAGUCCACAUCAAUUUCUUUUGCUGUAAAAAAGCUUGAGGAAGGUGGCUUGAGAUUCGUCUUAAGCUGUUUAUAGCCUCUUGCCUAUGCAGUCGGAGAGAUUGAGGUCUGCAGCGUAGAUCCUUCGGGGCUAAAUGCAUUUGUGCUAAGUUAUAACAUUUUAUAGACAACUUGUUGACUAUGAUUUGUCUUGUAGCUUACUCGCUUAUGUUAUUUUACCUACGCUUAGGAUGUUGACGCGCGUGUGUGCGUG
This 778-nucleotide ribosomal RNA is filed under the name uncultured Neocallimastigales. RNAcentral's name for it is "partial large subunit ribosomal RNA". It matches the Rfam family "Eukaryotic large subunit ribosomal RNA", at positions 22 to 615 of the family's 3401-position model. Lineage: Eukaryota; Fungi; Neocallimastigomycota; Neocallimastigomycetes; Neocallimastigales. The record is from RNAcentral.